This 253-nucleotide ribosomal RNA is filed under the name uncultured bacterium. Its description in RNAcentral is "partial 16S ribosomal RNA". It matches the Rfam family "Bacterial small subunit ribosomal RNA", at positions 524 to 776 of the family's 1533-position model. The record is from RNAcentral.
UACGUAGGGGGCAAGCGUUGUCCGGAUUUAUUGGGCGUAAAGAGCGUGUAGGCGGCUGGGUAGGUCCGUUGUGAAAACUCGAGGCUCAACCUCGAGACGCCGAUGGAAACCCUCCAGCUAGAGUCCGGAAGAGGAGAAUGGAAUUCCUGGUGUAGCGGUGAAAUGCGCAGAUAUCAGGAAGAACACCCGUGGCGAAGGCGGUUCUCUGGGACGGUACUGACGCUGAGACGCGAAAGCGUGGGGAGCGAACAGG